RNAcentral lists this ribosomal RNA (451 nucleotides) under uncultured bacterium. RNAcentral describes it as "partial 16S ribosomal RNA". It matches the Rfam family "Bacterial small subunit ribosomal RNA", at positions 29 to 523 of the family's 1533-position model. The record is from RNAcentral.
AACGAACGCUGGCGGCAGGCUUAACACAUGCAAGUCGAACGCGUGUAGCAAUACACGAGUGGCGCACGGGUGAGUAACGCGUGGAUAUCUGCCUUUUGGUUCGGAAUAACCCCGGGAAACUGGGGCUAAUACCGGAUGGUUCCUUCGGGAUAAAGAUUUAUCGCCAAAAGAUGAGUCCGCGUACGAUUAGCUAGUUGGUGAGGUAAUGGCUCACCAAGGCGACGAUCGUUAGCUGGUCUGAGAGGACGAUCAGCCACACUGGGACUGAGACACGCCCCAGACCCCUACGGGAGGCAGCAGUGGGGAAUAUUGGACAAUGGGGGCAACCCUGAUCCGGCCAUGCCGCGUGGGUGAUGAAGGCCUUGGGGUUGUAAAGCUCUUUUGGCGGGGACGAUGAUGACGGUACCCGCAGAAUAAGCCCCGGCUAACUUCGUGCCAGCCGCCGCGGUAA